Molecule: non-coding RNA, 87 nt
Filed under: Pseudomonas inefficax
Lineage: Bacteria; Pseudomonadati; Pseudomonadota; Gammaproteobacteria; Pseudomonadales; Pseudomonadaceae
Also listed under: 1 other name
Source: RNAcentral
CGUUAUGGCGGCAGUACGUGGGGCACCUCGUGUGCGCCGAGUCUCCGGAGUCCUCGGUCUGUCAACCCGCGUACCGCUGCCACCCUC